Long non-coding RNA from Triticum aestivum (bread wheat), 4054 nucleotides. RefSeq lists it as uncharacterized. NCBI's taxonomy places the organism in Eukaryota, Viridiplantae, Streptophyta, Magnoliopsida, Poales, Poaceae. The record is from RefSeq and is a predicted model, not a curated record. The transcript is spliced from 12 exons.
ACCGCCUCGAACCAGCUCGUCCCACCUCCUCCUCUUCCUCUCUCGAUCUCCUCUGCCUCGCACGCCGCCACCGCUCGCCCUCGCGCCGCCGCCUCCGUUCGCCCUCCUCUGCCUCGCACACCGCCACCGCUCGCCCUCGCGCCGCCGCCGUCUCCGUUGCCCAACCUGCUGGAUCCCCACCAUCCACUUCUCCGGCGUCGUCGCCUCGUCAUCGCGUGCACGCGGCAGGAGGAGCGAGGGAGACGUGGAGCCGCCGCUAGGAACGCCACCGUCGUCCUCGCGUGCACACGGCAGGAGGAGCGGGGGAGGCGUGGAGCCGCUGCUGGGAACGCCGGAUGCGAUUAUCUGCAGGUCGGUCAGCCCUGCCAGCCUCAUGUACCUAGCACGAGAUGAAAGAGGGAUUUAGAGAAGGGAGGGAGCAGGAGGAGAAGAGGAAGAAGAACCCUACCACCCCCAUGCCCGCCCAGUGCUUCGUGCGGCUCUGCACCCCAACCAUUCCACCUCCAUGCCCCUCCAAUUUCUCUAUCCCUUUUUUGCAGAAUAGGGAUUGAGAAUUGGUCAAUAUACUGAACGGAUACAUUCACUGGAAAGGAGGGGCUGCUGAUGUUGUGGGCUUGAUUGCCUUUUAAUUGUUGAUCCCAAAAUCCUGCCCCGACACGAGCCACCGCCGUUCGUCCGGAGAAGCGCGGGAAGAAGAAGAUGGAUGUGUUGAGACCUUGAUGGGAUGGAGAGACGUUUCCUUUCAAAAAUUACCGCUAGAAAUAGUAGAGAGAAAGCUCAAGCACGGAAACGAGCAGUUAAUUCUAUUUGCCAGGGUUCUGCUGCUGAUAUUAUCAAGGUGGCUAUGCUUAACAGUCAUUCUGUAAUUACCAAUGGGAGUAACACACUUGAUUCUAUGGAUGGGCUAACGCAGAACUUUUAACAAAUCAGAGGGCGUUGUCACCUUUUGCAGGUGCAUGAUGAAUUUGUGCUUGAAGUUGACCCGUCUAGGGUAGCAGAGGCUGUAAGGAAUCCCCGGGCCAUCCAGUGCGUGCCAUCAGUUUGACCCAGGAGCGGCGCGGCAGAGGCGUUGGGCAAGGAGCACUCGCCGGAGGCGCUUGAUGCGGCUCCUCCGUCUAUGUCCAUUGCAGGAGACGAUGAUGUCGUGUUGGGCUCGGACCUUGCUGACCGCCAUCUUGGCCUGCAAGAGGAUGCUCCCCUGCUCCGACUUGCUCAGCACAUGGUUAUUGAAAAUUCUGGUUUCCUGUAACUAUCAGGUGGUCUGAUGCAGGUUCAUGAGGUUAUUGUCAACAGAAGCAGUUCAUAGAUAGGGAUUAGAGGAAGCAACUUAAAAAUGGGGACAAUGUUGUUACUGUUUCUUUUCCUUAUAUUUGCGGGGAUGCCAGGGCUGACUGCCUUGUGCGUACCAUGGCGAGGAGUAGCAAUAUGCAUAUUUGCUCCCUCUAGCGAGCACCACGGAGGAGGUGAGGGGCCAAUAGGGAGUAAAUAAAACAUUUGAUGAGUGCUGCAUGCCCGCGCACGUUGUCGGAGAGGUCAGAUCACUGUAGUUUUGUGGUACCACAAAAAUCGUUUUAUUUUCCUUAAUUGUAACUCUAAAUUAUGUCCAGAUCACCCAUGUCUAUUUUCCUUCAUGGAUAGUGUAUUCUCAUUUUUCAACUAGACAAAUUUUAUCCUUUGAAUUACUGCAAUACAUUAAGUUGGCACGAACAAUUCUAUUUAAAGAUAUACUAUCCGAGGCGUGAAAAAGAAGAUGGCGUAGGUUGAUGGUCUAGCUAUUUUAUAAUCCCUUUUAUUGAGAUCAGAUGAAGUUUAGUCUGGUCUUGCUCUGAAUUUCUCUGCAUUGUUUGGUAUCCAAAUUAGCGUUAGGUUUCAGAUAGCAGAGUAAUUGAUGAGCGGCACACAUGAUCAUAAUGAGCGGCACACAUGAGCACAUACGGUUCUUUGAGCAAACACACACACACACACACACACACACACAAACACAGACAUACAUGAACAAAUGAGAAAUGAGUGAUUCUAACAUGAGAAGAUGAGGGAUGACAUAUGCCUACUCGUCAUGAAGCAUAUCAGCAUGUGGAUUAAUAAUAGAAGGGGAAGGAAACUUGCUUCUCUGCGUUUUUAUUAUAGUUUAAAAGGGCAAAUUGUCGACAUUCUAAAUGUUAGGAAAGGAACCUACAGAGUCCAUGUGUAAGUAUGUGAUUCAGAUUAAUGCUCUGAAAGUAUUUAACUUGCUUACUAAUAAUCCACACUCGUAUGUAUUAAUACUCACACAGAAGUAGACAGGCCAUGGCUAGCAGCAAAUGUAUAUGCCAAUUUAUGAUGUUUUUCACAUGAUAAUAACACUAUCAGCAUGCUAAUUAUAUGUUGUGGAGGCGGCGAGGUACUAGAUCCGCUAUCAUCAUAGUUCCGAUUGUAAAACAGAAUACAUCCAGAGCUGACCGAGAUAGACCAGCAACCAUUACCAUUGACAAUGCCUUUUCAGGUUUUCCCUUGUAUUAAACUGCGGGUUACGCUCGCUAUUGGUUCGGUGUCCAAACAGUUUCAUGUCAGAUUUAGUAGUAUAAUUAGGUGACAGAAGAAAUUAGACAAAGGCCGGUUUGAUCCAUACACAUAUGGACUGACUACGACAACCAAAUCUUUAGAUAGGAAAAAAUAGCUAAACAUGGUUAUAAAGUUUUGGCUGUUUUUUGGACUGAAGAAAUAUGACGUCUGCUGUGUAGCUCUAAAUGCUUACUGUUAUCUUUCCUUGGCAAUGUUUGUGCCUUCUGAGAAUAGAUUUGCUGUCAAGUGACAUCAUGCAACAUGGAUUUAGAACGAAGAGUAAGAUAUGUUUCCGUACAACGACUACUGGAUCGAUAGUACAAAAUAAAUAGCUUGAAUGGAUUUAGUAUUAAGAACAAAAUAUGAUACGGAAAUUCUAAAGCUACCCUUCUUGUGGAUCGAUUGAUAAAUCCAUGUAAUAUUUUGAUAAAGAGUUAAAUCUGCAAGUACUCUAAAUUUGUAUACGUUGUUUGAGUGCCGUUUAAUUAAGAUACUAGACUAUGUUGGUACACAUAUAUUUGGAUGCUUGUGAUUGGCUGGAAAGAACAGAAACCUAGAUUUGUUGUUGGACUGAACUGAGUAGUCAUAGCCUUCUGGCUGAUGCUUCAGUAUACCAAAACACUUGCUAUUUUUCAUGUUCUUGUACGAGAUGGGUUUAGGACACAAACAAUUAUUUGUUUUAUCUACGAAAAACUUUUUCUUCAAGAUUACAGUAUGUUGAAUGCCUUUCGUGCUUAGUUGAAAUAUAAGUACUGCUUGUAUGUGAUUUCAAUCCAGCUUGACCAAUUUUCUUUGCUCUGCUUUUUCCCUCCCUCUCCACUGAAUAUGACCAUGUUCAAAAUAAAAUGUGCAUUACCACUUAUGAGAGUAACCGAUAUUUCAUUUUUGUUGGGACUGUUCUUUCUAGGUGUAUAUUCCUUCUCUGAAUGUUUAUUACCAUGGAACUCGAGUAUCCAGUCUGUAUAGCUGUAUACCUCAUUUUAAGAAAAAAAACUUGAGUGUCCAUUAUACAUGAAUGAGUACAUCUAUAAAGUAAAUUGACCACAAUGAGACAUCCGUUUUGUUUACCUUUGAAUAUAAUGAGCACAUGUUGAAGGUUUUCUCAUCCCACUUUCUCUAUAGCCCGUAUGAGCUUUAGUCGGAGCACUGUGUGUCGAUGAUACAUAUAUUUUCAACUACCUAAGGUCACUUAGUUCUGUGUAAAGUAGAUUGCACUUGGUACAAUUGUUGAUGGAUUGACUUGCUUUCAUUUUUUGAGCCUUAAGCACCUAAUUUAGUUUUGAGUUCUACUCCUCUCAUUUAGACUGCAGGGUAAAUCAUUGCAUUGGAAACUACAAGUGAAAUGGAAGGUAAGAAUCUCAUUUUGGCAUCCACUAUGGAUACAUGUGGAGAUAGAGAAAGGUAGAUUGAUCAAAAGACUUGCAAAAAUCAAAGAGGAGUAGGGAGAGAUCAAUGAGGCUGCUGAAAUCAUGCAAGAAGUUGCUUUAAGUUUGCACGUGCACUAGAAUUAUGG